UACGGGGGGGGCUAGCGUUGUUCGGAAUUACUGGGCGUAAAGGGCUCGUAGGCGGCCAACUAAGUCAUGCGUGAAAUCCCUCGGCUUAACCGGGGAACUGCGUCUGAUACUGGAUGGCUUGAAUCCGGGAGAGGGAUGCGGAAUUCCAGGUGUAGCGGUGAAAUGCGUAGAUAUCUGGAGGAACACCGGUGGCGAAGGCGGUGCUCUGGGCCGGAACUGACGCUGAGGAGCGAAAGCGUGGGGAGCGAACAGG
This 253-nucleotide ribosomal RNA is filed under the name uncultured bacterium. Its description in RNAcentral is "partial 16S ribosomal RNA". It matches the Rfam family "Bacterial small subunit ribosomal RNA", at positions 524 to 776 of the family's 1533-position model. The record is from RNAcentral.